UCGAUCCUGUCUUACCCUCCCCUGUUCUCUCGCUUUUUCAAAGGGAUCUCGGCAUGAAUGUAAGUGGAUUAGCUCUGGAGUUGUUCUACCAAAACACUUUCAUCUGGCAACGUUCGUUCGUGGCUCGUUCACGACUCAUCGAGACGAGGAAGGAGGGAGAGAGAGAAAGUCAAACAGCAACCGGCGACGGGGGAACUACAAGAGGACAAAGAAGAAAAAGUGUGCCAAUUCAGUCAAUUCAUGAGAGAAAAAGAAAGAAAGCUUUGGCAGACUGUCAUGCCUGACCCCGCUUUAUUAUGGUGCAACACACAAUCCUGUCAAGUGCUACGAAUUUGUCCUGUAAAAUGCUACAACAAUCACAGUCAGUCUCAGCUACACACAUCCACCCGCAUCUCGUCCAAUAAACACACAAGGUCAUCGAGGUCCACGUGGAACUCACCAGAGAA
This is a long non-coding RNA of Pimephales promelas (fathead minnow), 446 nucleotides long. RefSeq lists it as uncharacterized. The record is from RefSeq and is a predicted model, not a curated record. Lineage: Eukaryota; Metazoa; Chordata; Actinopteri; Cypriniformes; Leuciscidae.